GGGAAUCUCUAGCUGGCUAGUUAUCUACCCUCUGGCGUUCCGCAAUAUUGGAGAAAAAGUUGAUUGAUAAUCCAAGUACUAGUUUGAAAAAUAUGCACUGGGCAUCAAAAUGAUCUCCCGAAUAGUUUUAAAAGAUGUGGUUCAGAGGUUCAAGAGUUUUACUCCUGAGUUACGGCUGGGAUUGUUUCUGUCAUAGUAUAAUUUGUUUACUGUCACCAACGUUACAUAUUUCGGUUUAUCAGAGGAUGUCUUCAGUCUUGGAACGACAGUUUUUGGCAAUAGUCAUGUGCACAAGCUCAAUAAGGUUCCGGAGUGGCGCAGCGGUCUGAGGCACUGCAUCUUAGUGCAAAAGAGGCGUCACUACAGACCCUGUUUCGAAUCCAGGUUGUAUCACAUCUGGCUGUGAUUCGGAGUCCCAUAGGGCAGUGCACAAUUGGGCCUGCAUCGCCAGGACGGAAAGGGCUGGCUCUCACUUCUGGACAUGUCCGAUGCCAGGGCAUCAGUGCUGGACAAGAAGAUGCCUUUCAGGCGGCUGAGGAACAUUGAUGUCCUGUAUGUCCCUGCAUCAAUAGAGGCGAGAAGGAAGACGGUCCACCCACCAAUCAUUCCAACCCCAGGCUCCUACCCAGUCCAAGCCUACGCUCCAGUGUCUUCUACCUCCAACCUACAGGCUACCGAGACCACACCAAAGACAUUUGAAGGCUGGGCCCACUCCUACUAUACACAGGGGAGCCCUGUUCAGGUCUCAGGUUAUUACGGAC
This 761-nucleotide long non-coding RNA is filed under the name Salmo salar (Atlantic salmon). Its description in RNAcentral is "lncRNA (ENSSSAG00000099306.1)". The record is from RNAcentral. Lineage: Eukaryota; Metazoa; Chordata; Actinopteri; Salmoniformes; Salmonidae.